AAGGAGCCCCAUGGAGGGUGAUAGCCCCGUCUCGCAUUGACCUCAUAUAGGAUCUUAACAGGGAGUUGAGUUGUUUGGGAAUGCAGCUCAAAUGGGUGGUAUGCUCCAUCUAAAGCUAAAUAUCUGCGAGAGACCGAUAGUAAACAAGUACUGUGAGGGAAAGAUGAAAAGAACUUUGAAAAGAGAGUGAAAAAGUACGUGAAAUUGUUGAAAUGGAAGGGGUAGGCCGCUAACCAUGUAGAGCCGUGUU
This 250-nucleotide ribosomal RNA is filed under the name Starmerella bacillaris. RNAcentral describes it as "partial large subunit ribosomal RNA". It matches the Rfam family "Eukaryotic large subunit ribosomal RNA", at positions 195 to 450 of the family's 3401-position model. The record is from RNAcentral. Lineage: Eukaryota; Fungi; Ascomycota; Dipodascomycetes; Dipodascales; Trichomonascaceae.